AUGUCAUGGCCAUCGCCGACCUGGGUCGAGCGACCGUGGCCGCGACGGUCGUGGGCAAUGACGCGAUAGCCCUUGCCCAGGAAAUAGAGCAUCUGCGC
Molecule: small RNA, 98 nt
Filed under: Sinorhizobium meliloti 2011
Lineage: Bacteria; Pseudomonadati; Pseudomonadota; Alphaproteobacteria; Hyphomicrobiales; Rhizobiaceae
Description: putative ncRNA
Source: RNAcentral